RNAcentral lists this ribosomal RNA (492 nucleotides) under uncultured bacterium. Its description in RNAcentral is "partial 16S ribosomal RNA". It matches the Rfam family "Bacterial small subunit ribosomal RNA", at positions 30 to 507 of the family's 1533-position model. The record is from RNAcentral.
AGCGAACGCUGGCGGCAGGCCUAACACAUGCAAGUCGAACGGCAGGCCAGUGGGAGCGUGGUCGGGUGGGUGGCGAGUGGCGGAGGGGCGAGGAGUACAUCGGAACCUACUUUUUCGUGGGGGAUAACGUAGGGAAACUUAAGGUAGUACCGCAUAUCACCUACGGGUGAAAGCAGGGGAUCUUCGCACCUUGCGCGAUUGAAUGAGCCGAUGUCGGACUAGCUAGUUGGCGGGGUAAAGGCCCACCAAGGCCACGAUCCGUAGCUGGUAUGAGAGGAUGGUCAGCCACACUGGAUCUGAGACAGGGUCCAGACUCCUGCGGGAGGCAGCAGUCGGGAAUAUUGGGCAAUGGGGGAGAGCCUAAUACAGCCCUACCGCGUGAGUGAAGAAGGCGUUCGGGUUGGUAAGCCCUUUUGUUGGGAGAGAAGAGAAGCAGGUUUGUACGCCGCGGUACUGACGGUACCGGAAGAAUAAGCACCGGCUAACUUCGUG